UGAUGAUAUAACAGAAGCCAAUAUGAUCAUCGCAGUUGUAAAAGGGGGUGAAUUUUCAGCACGGAGUGGUCUUAAAACUGUUUCAAUUGCAAAGAAAGAGCCAGCUACCGCUGCAUUGAAACCUGAAGAAAUUCCAGCAGCUGCACCAGCUGCAAUAAGAGCUAUUCUUCUUUCCCGGUUGUUUUCCAUCAUCAUUGAGCAUCCAUAGGCACAUGAUUUCCCUAUAUCUACACUAGGACCUUCAGGACCCAAGGAACAACCAGUGCCCAGAGUUAUAGCAGCUUGAGUGGCCUUCACUGUAGGGAAGAUUCCAGCAAUCAAAUCAAAUCCUUGUCCCUGAGUAGAGCUAGACUGUGUUAUUUGGUCCAAUAUUCCGAGCAGACCAUGCAACAUGCCAACAAUGACUCCACCCAAAACUGGUAUUAAAAGUAUCCGAUGCCAAGUAUCAGCUAGCCUUUGCAAACGAAGCCAAGCAGCACCGUCAUA
Molecule: unclassified non-coding RNA, 486 nt
Filed under: Hevea brasiliensis (rubber tree)
Lineage: Eukaryota; Viridiplantae; Streptophyta; Magnoliopsida; Malpighiales; Euphorbiaceae
Source: RNAcentral